AAAUGAAUUGACGGGGGCCCGCACAAGCGGUGGAGCAUGUGGUUUAAUUCGAAGCAACGCGAAGAACCUUACCUACUCUUGAAAUCCAGUGAACUUAGCAGAGAUGCUUAGGUGCCUUCGGGAACACUGAGACAGGUGCUGCAUGGCUGUCGUCAGCUCGUGUUGUGAAAUGUUGGGUUAAGUCCCGUAACGAGCGCAACCCCUAUCCUUAGUUGCCAGCGAGUAAUGUCGGGGACUCUAAGGAGACUGCCGGUGACAAACCGGAGGAAGGCGGGGAUGACGUCAAGUCAUCAUGGCCCUUACGAGUAGGGCUACACACGUGCUACAAUGGCGUAUACAGACGGUUGCGAAGCGGUGACGUGGAGCUAAUCUGAGAAAGUACGUCGUAGUCCGGAUUGGAGUCUGCAACUCGACUCCAUGAAGUCGGAAUCGCUAGUAAUCGUGAAUCAGAAUGUCACGGUGAAUACGUUCCCGGGCCUUGUACACACCGCCCGUCACACCAUGGGAGUUGAUUGCACCAGAAGU
RNAcentral lists this ribosomal RNA (525 nucleotides) under bacterium b2cb14. RNAcentral's name for it is "bacterial SSU rRNA". It matches the Rfam family "Bacterial small subunit ribosomal RNA", at positions 903 to 1427 of the family's 1533-position model. The record is from RNAcentral.